RNAcentral lists this unclassified non-coding RNA (253 nucleotides) under uncultured Enterobacteriaceae bacterium. Its description in RNAcentral is "contains 16S-23S intergenic spacer region". It matches the Rfam family "Bacterial small subunit ribosomal RNA", at positions 524 to 776 of the family's 1533-position model. Lineage: Bacteria; Pseudomonadati; Pseudomonadota; Gammaproteobacteria; Enterobacterales; Enterobacteriaceae. The record is from RNAcentral.
UACGGAGGGGGCAAGCGUUGUUCGGAAUUACUGGGCGUAAAGCGCACGCAGGCUGUCUGUCAAGUCGGAUGUGAAAUCCCCGGGCUCAACCUGGGAACUGCAUCCGAAACUGGCAGGCUAGAGUCUUGUAGAGGGCGGUAGAAUUCAAGGUGUAGCGGUGAAAUGCGUAGAGAUCUGGAGGAAGACCGGUGGCGAAGGCGGCACCCUGGACAAAGACUGACGCUCAGGUGCGAAAGCGUGGGGAGCAAACAGG